CCUACGGGAGGCAGCAGUAGGGAAUAUUGCACAAUGGGCGAAACCCUGAUGCAGCGACGCCGCGUGCGUGAUGAAGGACUUCGGUAUGUAAAGUUCUAUCAUCAGGGAAGAAAAUGACGGUACCUGAGUAAUAAGCCCCGGCUAACUACGUGCCAGCAGCCGCGGUCAUACGUAGGGGGCAAGCGUUCUACGGAUUUACUGGGUGUAAAGGCAGCCGAGAUGGCAGUGCAAGUCUGGAGGGAAAGGCGGGGGCUCAACACCCGGACCGCUCUGGAAACUGUACGGCUGGAGUGAAGGAGAGGUAAGUGGAAUUCCUAGUGUAGCGGUGAAAUGCGUAGAUAUUAGGAAGAACACCAGUGGCGAAGGCGGCUUACUGGACUGUAACUGACGUUGAGGCACGAAAGCGUGGGGAGCAAACAGGAUUAGAUACCCCAGUAGUC
RNAcentral lists this ribosomal RNA (440 nucleotides) under uncultured bacterium. RNAcentral describes it as "partial 16S ribosomal RNA". It matches the Rfam family "Bacterial small subunit ribosomal RNA", at positions 338 to 795 of the family's 1533-position model. The record is from RNAcentral.